GAUGAACGCUAGCGGCAGGCUUAAUACAUGCAAGUCGAGGGGUAGAGAAGUACUUGUAUUUCUUGAGACCGGCGAACGGGUGCGUAACGCGUAUGCAACCUACCUUUANCAGGGGGAUAGCCCAGAGAAAUUUGGAUUAAUACCGCAUAAUAGAUUGAAUGGCAUCAUUUGGUCUUGAAAGAUUUAUUGGAUAGAGAUGGGCAUGCGUAGGAUUAGCUAGUAGGCGAGGUAACGGCUCACCUAGGCGACGAUCCUUAGGGGCUCUGAGAGGAGUAACCCCCACACUGGUACUGAGAUACGGACCAGACUCCUACGGGAGGCAGCAGUAGGGAAUAUUGGUCAAUGGACGAGAGUCUGAACCAGCCAUGCCGCGUGCAGGAAGACUGCCCUCUGGGUUGUAAACUGCUUUUAUAUGGGAAGAAAGACUCUUGCGAGAGGCAUUGACGGUACCAUAGGAAUAAGCCACGGCUAACUACGUGCCAGCAG
This 486-nucleotide ribosomal RNA is filed under the name uncultured bacterium. RNAcentral's name for it is "bacterial SSU rRNA". It matches the Rfam family "Bacterial small subunit ribosomal RNA", at positions 28 to 514 of the family's 1533-position model. The record is from RNAcentral.